CGAAAGCCUGACGGAGCAACGCCGCGUGAGGGACGAAGGCCUCUGGGCUGUAAACCUCUUUUCUCAAGGAAGAAGAUAUGACGGUACUUGAGGAAUAAGCCACGGCUAAUUCCGUGCCAGCAGCCGCGGUAAUACGGGAGUGGCAAGCGUUAUCCGGAAUUAUUGGGCGUAAAGCGUCCGCAGGCGGCUUUUCAAGUCUGCUGUUAAAGCGUGGAGCUUAACUCCAUCAUGGCAGUGGAAACUGAAAGGCCUGAGUAUGGUAGGGGCAGAGGGAAUUCCCGGUGUAGCGGUGAAAUGCGUAGAUAUCGGGAAGAACACCAGUGGCGAAGGCGCUCUGCUGGGCCAUUACUGACGCUCAUGGACGAAAGCCAGGGGAGCGAAAG
RNAcentral lists this ribosomal RNA (383 nucleotides) under uncultured cyanobacterium. Its description in RNAcentral is "bacterial SSU rRNA". It matches the Rfam family "Bacterial small subunit ribosomal RNA", at positions 376 to 774 of the family's 1533-position model. The record is from RNAcentral. Lineage: Bacteria; Bacillati; Cyanobacteriota.